Oreochromis niloticus (Nile tilapia) is the source of this 246-nucleotide long non-coding RNA. RefSeq lists it as uncharacterized. NCBI's taxonomy places the organism in Eukaryota, Metazoa, Chordata, Actinopteri, Cichliformes, Cichlidae. The record is from RefSeq and is a predicted model, not a curated record. The transcript is spliced from 3 exons.
GUUUGCCGACGACAUGAAACACGGGAACAUUUCCCUGAAGAUUACGAAUGUGUCGGAGGGAGACGCAGGCAGAUACCGCUGUUUCGUACCAAAGCUACAGAGUCGGGUGAAAUUUGCGAUCGUCGAACUUGUAGUUGAUUCAACACUUGUCAGAAACUCGACAACAGAGACACCGCUGCAAACUCCAACAACUGCAGAUCACCGAGACGCUACUCCAACAAACGAUCGAACCAGGAGCCAUGUGAU